Molecule: long non-coding RNA, 905 nt
Organism: Photinus pyralis (common eastern firefly)
Lineage: Eukaryota; Metazoa; Arthropoda; Insecta; Coleoptera; Lampyridae
Exons: 3
Source: RefSeq, a predicted model, not a curated record
GACUUAGGCUAUAACAAUUGUAUGUUAACAGUUAUAUAGCGUAAGUGGCAUAGGGGUUUUCUGCAGGUGUUCAUACAAAGACGUCUAUUGAUUCCCAGAAAUUGUCAUCUGUCGUUCUCUCACUUAUUAACACGUUUCGUCCUUAGUUUCUCGCUAACGACAUCGAGACUUCUUUAAUAUAUAGGUUCAAAUUUGUCCCGUAAUUAUUAGUUAACGUCAAGCGCGCACAUAAUGAUGCCAUCACGCUCAAAACUUUCUAUUAAAAAAAAUCGGGUCGCGAGCUUAAAAUCAACAUUUUAAACCAAACUUGUAUUAAACCACCACCACCAAUGUACAAUAACUUCAAGGUGGAACCGGGGAAAACAAACGUGGUAAACAAAGCGGUGGUGAAUUCGUGCCAAAUGGAUUCGGCUUCCCAAAUAUUGAUCGACGACACUUUAAGUGUCAUCACAAUCAAUUCUGAUGAUCUAACGAUUGCGUAAGUAUACAAAAAAUUUUAUAUUUGAUAUUUUUGUGUAUGUACGUUAAAAAAGUAAUUGUUUUUCUUUGUUUUUUUACAGAACAGGAAAUUUGGGUGACAAUUUUGAGCUAGACACGCUCAUGGCACAGCUGGAAGGGAAUCCUGCUGCAGACUUUCUUUUUGCUUCAGCUCGGAUAAUCUCAACACCCCAACUAUCUGAGCCGAUGCGAUCCCCUACACCGCCGCCACCACCAAUAGAACCAUCAAUCGAAACAAUGGAGCCCUCAGUCAUAAAUAAAAAAGGCCAAAAAUGACCACAUGGCUACGACAAAGCAGGGAUGGCUCAGGGAGUGGCCACAAAAAAUCUCAAUCUUAUUCAGAUUGACCUGGGAGAAAGGGAAUUCCGCCCGGAAAGAGGCUGGAGAAAGAGGUGCAAUUCAUUGAA